Molecule: ribosomal RNA, 79 nt
Filed under: Vibrio sp. T187
Lineage: Bacteria; Pseudomonadati; Pseudomonadota; Gammaproteobacteria; Vibrionales; Vibrionaceae
Description: partial 16S ribosomal RNA
Rfam family: Bacterial small subunit ribosomal RNA
Source: RNAcentral
UUAAAUUGAAGAGUUUGAUCAUGGCUCAGAUUGAACGCUGGCGGCAGGCCUAACACAUGCAAGUCGAGCGGAAACGACU